This 682-nucleotide long non-coding RNA is filed under the name Homo sapiens (human). RNAcentral describes it as "non-protein coding lnc-CBX1-3:1". Lineage: Eukaryota; Metazoa; Chordata; Mammalia; Primates; Hominidae. The record is from RNAcentral.
AGGGGCAAUAUCAGAACCCUGGUUUCCAUUUGCAGCAAAAACAUGGGUACCUCGGAAAAAAUAGAGUCCUUUUAACUUUGAUUUCUCCUCUCUUUGAUCAGUAGACUAUGCCAGUUACUACCAGGGCCUAUGGGAUUGCCAUGGUGACCAGCCAGAUGAACUGUCCUUCCAACGGGGUGACCUCAUCCGUAUUCUGAGCAAGGAGUAUAACAUGUAUGGCUGGUGGGUGGGAGAACUGAACAGCCUCGUUGGGAUUGUUCCAAAGGAGUAUCUCACCACUGCCUUUGAAGUGGAAGAAAGAUGAAACCCAGGAAAUAUAUUCUUCCCUCUCUCCUGCCUUUAUGAGGAAACUGAUCAUCAAAAGUUCCCACUCCCUACUUCUGCCACCCCACCAACGCCUUGGACUCCUCUCUUUGCUGAAGAGACCCAAGUCUCUUGACACCUCAGAGUGACUGUAAGCUACCAGUAAGACAAGUGGGAAGAGGCACGUUCAUCAAACCUGUUACUAAACCAGCCUAGUCAUAGCUCAUCCCCAUCUCUAAAUGUGUCCACACAACCACAUCUGCCUUUUCCACAAGCUUUUCACAAAGAAGGUGAGAGAGAAGGAAACCUUGGGAGGAGGACAUUACUGGUUGUUCUGGCUGGUUUGAAAAGCACAAAUAAACUUGGGAUGUGGUUCCUU